Lutra lutra (Eurasian river otter) is the source of this 403-nucleotide long non-coding RNA. RefSeq lists it as uncharacterized. Lineage: Eukaryota; Metazoa; Chordata; Mammalia; Carnivora; Mustelidae. The transcript has 3 exons. The record is from RefSeq and is a predicted model, not a curated record.
GCUGGGGGCGCCCUGCCCACCCCAAACGGCCCUGCGUCGCGCCCGCCCCGAAGGUGGGAUCCUCCAGUCCCGCUGAGCCCACCCUUGAAGUUCCUCGUGCAGCCCCUCCUGGGACAGUGGCAGACUGAGGGCAGCAGCGGCGGGGACUGGCCCGGACCCGACAGGUCAUGGUCUCAGGGAAGCCGGCAGCGAGAGCCACUUCCUACACUGCAGACUGUGGGUCAGGUCUCACCGGGCUAUUCUGGCCGUUUGCCUGGAGGGCCCCAAAGUGCCAUCUCCUCCAUUCUGGGCACCUGGCUGGACCAGUACUCGGAGGACUUCUGUCAGCCCCCAGACUUUCCCUGCCUCAAGCAGCUGGUGGCCUAUGUGCAGCUCAACAUGCCCGGUUCAGACCCAGAGCACC